UCCCGUCGCCGCGCAUGCACACCCCGCCUCCCAGGUCCCAGCAAAAUCUCCGGCGCAUGGGGACCGCCGCCGCCGGCCGCCCCACCCGACACCUCUCUGAUUCUCUCCCUCUAUAUAACCUGACCUGAUCUCAAGGUGCUGCUCGAAGCUACCCUAAACCGCCGCCGCCGCCGCCGCCGAUUGCUCGAGCUCGCUUCUUUACGGCGGUUCUGCAUCUGCGUGCUGAUAUCUUCUUGUCAUGUUCUCUCGUUCUGUGCUUCUGUGAUUUUUUCCUAUUUUCUCUCAACUGUACCAGGGAUUGGUUCGUAGCUCGGGCUGAUGAUGAUUUGGAUCCGAAAGGAUCUUAGCGGAUUUCGGUGAGGCAGAUUCGUCCGCCGCUGAUCGCCUUAUGUUGUUACACACACUGAAGCCCUUUCGACGCGUCUCUCAGAUUGGUUCUUUUCCCCUUUCGUCUCUUUGUCUAAUUUCUCACUGGAUGUUGCUGCAAUGCGAUGAUGAUUCAUAACAUGGUUUUGGCAGUGGUUACCCCUUGUGGUCACCGUGAGCCGUCAAACCUGAAAACGACUUCUCUUUCCACUGAGCAUUGCGAAUAAAAUGCAGCGUAUUAUCAUCGGGCAAUUGAAUUUAUCAUCAAAUCCAUACUGGUUCUAGCAAAAAAAAACAGAUAAUUUCACGUGAGCCUGAAGUUUCUGAAAACUCAAUGCAGCUUUCAUGGAAGUGACUUUAUGGCACCUGCCAAUUACCAGUCGCCCCAUUUUUUAGGAACGAACGCACCUUUCCUCAACACGGCCUGAAUCGCAUAGCCAAGGCCAAACAAAUUAUUGGAUAAAACCUGCAUGCAAUAUCGUCUGACAGCAGGGAGGUAAUUUUGAUUUCAGAUUUCAGAUUAGAAGUUACAACUUGACAGCAGAUUUCUACACGUUGAGCUCCAUCUCCAACUCCAGCUCUCUCCACUUUCUGUGAUGCAACAGCUUCAGCGCCACCUGUUGCUUCACCUUGCCGCCUGAAACCACAACGGCGUCGUCCCUGGCCAGAGCGUUAUCCACCGGCCGAUCUGAAUGUAGCCUGUCUAGCAGUUCCGAGUUUCUGUGGCGGGGUUGAUCAUUGUUUGAUCAAGUCGUCCUUGGCCAUUAUCAGAUUCGGGCAUCAUUGCGAGUUCCAUGUUGGCUACCUUCAUGUUUGUGCUGAUGCCUUUGUAGCAAGUGGCUACCUGG
Molecule: long non-coding RNA, 1214 nt
Filed under: Zea mays
Lineage: Eukaryota; Viridiplantae; Streptophyta; Magnoliopsida; Poales; Poaceae
Description: long non-coding RNA (ZMAY_LNC005098)
Rfam family: Small nucleolar RNA R11/Z151 (bases 313-412)
Source: RNAcentral